AAAAAAUUAGUUAAACCCAAAAAUAACAUUAGUUUGUCAAACUAAAAUUAUCUUAAUUAAAGAUAUUUUUUA
Molecule: transfer RNA, 72 nt
Filed under: Synendotendipes sp.
Lineage: Eukaryota; Metazoa; Arthropoda; Insecta; Diptera; Chironomidae
Description: tRNA-Asp
Source: RNAcentral